UCGGGACUGCGGCACCUCACGGCCGACCGGGAUCUGGGUCUGCGCAGGCGACGAUGGGUGGUCCGAUGGGCUUCAGGACUUGAUGGCGUAACCCCCUUCUUACCCCACUGUCAGCUGCUCCAGCCAGACCGGGGCAGAGAAGAGAGGAGCAGACCGUCCCUGGCGGCCCACCUGACCUCCCAGCCUUUACCCCCAUUUCCUUCUACCAGACAGACAGACGGACUGGUUUCCCAGGUUGUCUGGGUGUCAGCGUCUGUCUGUCCAUCUGUGUGGUUCUCAGGUGGAAGGUAGGGCGUGAGAAGUGCUGGGAGGGAGGCGAGGGGGGCGGCUUUCCAGGGGUUGCCUUGCUGAAAUGUUCGGCCCUGGGGAUCUGGGUCUGGUGGGGAGCCCGUGGGCAGGAUGGGGCGUGGGCCGGGAGAAGCGGGGGCACGCGGGUAGGUUUGUCACUGCGUAGUUGGGGAAAGUGGGGACUGGUGACGCAGUCACUGUGGGAUCUUGUUAGGCGCUCUGGGGGGACAGGUAGUGGGGCUGCCGGGACCUAUAGGGCCAGCUGAGAGGGGUUAAGGAUGAGCUGAGAAGGGAAGCUAGCAUUUAGAGAUUAAAUGUCAUCCUUUUGGCGUUGGAAAGUUGUUUACCUUGCGCUCUCUGUGUCUCCAUGUUGGCACCCUUCCAGUUCACAUGUGAUGGCCUUCCUUGUACUGCUGCAUCAUUAACUAAGUGACUGAGCUGGCCUUCCAUUGGCCAGGGGAGGGCUCUCACGCCAGACACUUCCUCUGAUUGGUGGGCGGGCCAGUGGCAGGUGAAAACCUCUUUUUGAUUGGCUGAAGGCAGGGUAUCAAAUCUGAAUUUGCAUUUCACUUGCUUAAAGGGGAGGGGGAGAAGCCCAGCAGCCUUCUAAAAUCUGUUUAGGGGUGUGCGUAUGCUCCUGCGCGUAUGCUUUCUUCUGACUGACCAGUCGAAGCCUCUUCCUGUGCCUUUUUAAUUAUUUCAUGCGCUAUGAGGAAGAAGAGCCGAGAGCUCCCCAAACUUUUUUUUUUUUUUUUUGGUUGGGGCGAAGGUUGAGGAGAUGGGAGCGCAGGGGGAUGACCAAACUGGAAGGAAAUAUUCGUUCUUUAGUUUGGUGUCAGAAAAGGGAAUUUUCCAAUCAGCCACACCUCAGUGUUGCGGCAAAAUAAUUCUUGGCUCCCCUGGAAACGCAUGGGCAAGGUAGGGCAGAGCUGCUGCUGCCACCACCCUCGGCUUCCUGC
RNAcentral lists this long non-coding RNA (1247 nucleotides) under Sus scrofa (pig). RNAcentral's name for it is "lncRNA (ENSSSCG00005038816.1)". Lineage: Eukaryota; Metazoa; Chordata; Mammalia; Artiodactyla; Suidae. The record is from RNAcentral.